This 433-nucleotide ribosomal RNA is filed under the name uncultured bacterium. RNAcentral describes it as "partial 16S ribosomal RNA". It matches the Rfam family "Bacterial small subunit ribosomal RNA", at positions 29 to 507 of the family's 1533-position model. The record is from RNAcentral.
AACGAACGCUGGCGGCAUGCCUAACACAUGCAAGUCGAACGAGACCUUCGGGUCUAGUGGCGCACGGGUGCGUAACGCGUGGGAACCUGCCUUUAGGUUCGGAAUAACUCAGAGAAAUUUGAGCUAAUACCGAAUGAUGUCUUCGGACCAAAGAUUUAUCGCCUUUAGAUGGGCCCGCGUUGGAUUAGCUAGUUGGUGGGGUAAAGGCCUACCAAGGCGACGAUCCAUAGCUGGUCUGAGAGGAUGAUCAGCCACACUGGGACUGAGACACGGCCCAGACUCCUACGGGAGGCAGCAGUGGGGAAUAUUGGACGAUGGGCGAAAGCCUGAUCCAGCAAUGCCGCGUGAGUGAUGAAGGCCUUAGGGUUGUAAAGCUCUUUUAACCGAGAUGAUAAUGACAGUAUCGGGAGAAUAAGCUCCGGCUAACUCCGUG